RNAcentral lists this ribosomal RNA (401 nucleotides) under uncultured bacterium. Its description in RNAcentral is "bacterial SSU rRNA". It matches the Rfam family "Bacterial small subunit ribosomal RNA", at positions 356 to 774 of the family's 1533-position model. The record is from RNAcentral.
AGGGAAUAUUGGUAAUGUGCGAAAGCGCGAACCAGCAACGCCGCGUGCACGAUGAAGGCCUUCGGGUCGUAAAGUGCUUUUAGAGAGGAUGAGGAAGGACAGUACUUUCUGAAUAAGCCUCGGCUAACUACGUGCCGGCAGCCGCGGUAAAACGUAGGAGGCUAGCGUUAUCCGGAUUUACUGGGCGUAAAGCGCAUGCAGGUGGUUUUGUAAGUUGGAUGUGAAAGCUCCUGGCUUAACUGGGAGAGGUCGUUCAAAACUACAAGACUUGAGAUUGGUAGAGGAAAAUGGAAUUCCGGGUGUAGUGGUGAAAUGCGUAGAUAUCCGGAGGAACACCAGUGGCGAAAGCGGUUUUCUGGACCAAUUCUGACACUCAGAUGCGAAAGCUAAGGUAGCAAACG